This 610-nucleotide ribosomal RNA is filed under the name uncultured bacterium. Its description in RNAcentral is "bacterial SSU rRNA". It matches the Rfam family "Bacterial small subunit ribosomal RNA", at positions 68 to 682 of the family's 1533-position model. The record is from RNAcentral.
GUUACACCUUCGGGUGUGAUAGUGGCGCACGGGUGAGUAACGCGUACGCAAUCUGCCCUUAAGCGGGGAAUAGCCCUGGGAAACUGGGAGUAAUACCCCAUGAUGUUGUGAUGCUGCAUGGUAAUACAACUAAAGUUGAGGCGUUUAAGGAUGAGCGUGCGUCUGAUUAGCUAGUUGGCAGGGUAACGGCCUACCAAGGCGAUGAUCAGUAGGGGGCGUGAGAGCGUGGCCCCCCACACGGGUACUGAGACACGGACCCGACUCCUACGGGAGGCAGCAGUAAGGAAUAUUGGGCAAUGGGCGGAAGCCUGACCCAGCCAUCCCGCGUGCAGGAUGACGGCCCUAUGGGUUGUAAACUGCUUUUAUUGGAGAAGAAAGAGGUGCAUUUAUGUGCUUUUGACGGUAUCCUAUGAAUAAGCACCGGCUAACUCCGUGCCAGCAGCCGCGGUAAUACGGAGGGUGCAAGCGUUAUCCGGAAUCACUGGGUUUAAAGGGUGCGUAGGCGGCUUAAUAAGUCAGUGGUGAAAGCUGGCAGCUUAACUGUCAAACUGCCUUUGAUACUGUUGAGCUUGAAUCAGGUUAAGGUAGGCAGAAUGUGGCAUGUAGCGGU